Molecule: ribosomal RNA, 562 nt
Filed under: uncultured Lachnospiraceae bacterium
Lineage: Bacteria; Bacillati; Bacillota; Clostridia; Lachnospirales; Lachnospiraceae
Description: bacterial SSU rRNA
Rfam family: Bacterial small subunit ribosomal RNA
Source: RNAcentral
CGAGAGAGAGCUUGCUUUCUCGAGCGAGUGGCGAACGGGUGAGUAACGCGUGAGGAACCUGCCUCAAAGAGGGGGACAACAGUUGGAAACGACUGCUAAUACCGCAUAAGCCCACAGCUCGGCAUCGAGCAGAGGGAAAAGGAGCAAUCCGCUUUGAGAUGGCCUCGCGUCCGAUUAGCUAGUUGGUGAGGUAACGGCCCACCAAGGCAACGAUCGGUAGCCGGACUGAGAGGUUGAACGGCCACAUUGGGACUGAGACACGGCCCAGACUCCUACGGGAGGCAGCAGUGGGGAAUAUUGCACAAUGGGGGAAACCCUGAUGCAGCGACGCCGCGUGGAGGAAGAAGGUCUUCGGAUUGUAAACUCCUGUUGUUGAGGAAGACAAUGACGGUACUCAACAAGGAAGUGACGGCUAACUACGUGCCAGCAGCCGCGGUAAAACGUAGGUCACAAGCGUUGUCCGGAAUUACUGGGUGUAAAGGGAGCGUAGACGGCAUGGCAAGUCUGAUGUGAAAGGCCGGGGCUCAACCCCGGGACUGCAUUGGAAACUGUCAAUCUAGAG